ACAUCAACUCCGCCUGUAUCCCCUCUGGGGGCUACUGCCGGUCCCAAGCCCAGAUAAAGGAGGAGGGUUGG
RNAcentral lists this non-coding RNA (71 nucleotides) under Schistosoma mansoni. The record is from RNAcentral. Lineage: Eukaryota; Metazoa; Platyhelminthes; Trematoda; Strigeidida; Schistosomatidae.